Molecule: long non-coding RNA, 1572 nt
Organism: Camelus dromedarius (Arabian camel)
Lineage: Eukaryota; Metazoa; Chordata; Mammalia; Artiodactyla; Camelidae
Exons: 2
Source: RefSeq, a predicted model, not a curated record
AAGUUCCCCCUGACCACCAAGUCAGCCAUGAAGAAGAUAGAAGACAACAAGACACUUGCGUUCAUUGUGGAUGUCAAGGCCAACAAGUACCAGAUCAAACAGGCUGUGAAGAAGCUCUAUGACAUUGAUGUGGCUAAGGUCAAACCCUGAUCAGGCCUCAUGGAGAGAAGAAGGCAUAUGUACGAUGGGCUCCUGACUAUGCUUUGGAUGUUGCUAACAAAACUGGAAUCAUCUAAACAGCCCAGCUGGCUAAUUCUAAAUAUAAAAAUUUUCACUAUUUAAAAAAAAAGGGGUCACAGAAAAGUUCUUCCCAACAUCUGAAAGAACUUGCUUCCCGUAUUUUUUUCAGUGUUAGUCAUUUACAGAGGAAGUAUGAGUCAGACUAUUACAGCUUCACAGCCAGAACCUAUGACACACUUGAAGAAAAUGAAAGUGAUUCUGAAGUUUUUAAAACCUAAUUCUCUAAUGGAAUACUAUUCAGCCAUAAAAAAGCACAAAAUAAUGCCAUUUGCAGCAACAUGGAUGGACCUAGAGAUCAUCAUUCUAAGUGAAGGAAGCCAGAAAGAGAAAGAAAAAUACUAUAUAUUACUCAUAUGUGGAGUCUAAAAGAAAACAAGGACACUAUGAACUCAUCUACAAAACAGAAAUAGACUUGCAGAGACAUAGUAAACAAUCUUGUAGUUACUGGCAGAAAGGGGGCGGCAAGGGAUAAAUUUGGGAGUUUGAGAUUUGCAAAUGUUAGCCACUAUAUAUAAAAACAUAAAAAAAAAGUUUCUUCUGUAUAGCACAAGGAAAUAAAUUCAGUAUCUUGUAAUAACCUUUAAAGACAAUGAAUAUGAAAUGAGUGUAUGUACAUAUAUGCAUAACUGGGACAUUGUGCUGCACAUCAGAAAUUGACACACUGAUUGUACUUCAUUCUCAAUGCACAGCUUUCUUUACACUUUGGGAAAUUUGGGGAUUAUUUACCAGUUUUUGGCUACAUUUUGGACUCUUAACAGAUAUUGGUUAAAACAGAAAGCUCCAACCAAAUUCCCCCAAAUGUUCUAUCAGCUGACUUGCAGUCAUGAACACAUUCACUGACACCAGUUUUGCUCACUAGAUGAUAUGGCUUUUGAAGCUGAGUCUUUUCCUAUUUUUAUUAUUUUUGUUGAUGUAGAACCCAGUAGAAGACGGUGUAAAGGGAUACUCACGCAAAACUCAGACUAGAGAAGACAGAGACCGGAGCACUGUGAAUGUGUACUCAUUCCUGGAUUGAGGUGGUUCUGACUUACUGAGUGCAUUUCAAUUAAAGCAAGUGGUUUUAUGGCCACAAAGAAGACAAAGCUGGAGCUGAGGUCAACAUGCACAAGCCAACCUCAAUCCAUCAGUUUCUUCAUAUUUUACCUUCCUACAAUUUGCUGCCCUGGGAAAUCUCAAAUCCUUUUGUCUUGACACCUGUUUACAAAUUUAUUGUUCUUUUGUUACGAUGCCACUAAGCCCAAGUUCUAACCAUCUCUUUGGUGUUACUCAUCACUGAGUUCUCCCACAUAAAUGUGCAAUGCAUGGCUCAAUAAAUUGUUCUUCUCUUGUUAA